UGCUGCAUGGCUGUCGUCAGCUCGUGUCGUGAGAUGUUUGGUCAAGUCCUAUAACGAGCGAAACCCUCGUUUUGUGUUGCUGCGACAUGCGCCUAAGGAGAAAUAGCCGAGGAGAGGAGCCGAGUGACGUGCCAGCGCUAC
RNAcentral lists this non-coding RNA (141 nucleotides) under Setaria italica (foxtail millet). RNAcentral's name for it is "Bacterial small subunit ribosomal RNA". It matches the Rfam family "Bacterial small subunit ribosomal RNA", at positions 1039 to 1161 of the family's 1533-position model. The record is from Rfam by way of RNAcentral. Lineage: Eukaryota; Viridiplantae; Streptophyta; Magnoliopsida; Poales; Poaceae.